AAAUUGAAGAGUUUGAUCAUGGCUCAGAUUGAACGCUGGCGGCAGGCCUAACACAUGCAAGUCGAACGGUAACAGGAAGCAGCUUGCUGCUUCGCUGACGAGUGGCGGACGGGUGAGUAAUGUCUGGGAAACUGCCUGAUGGAGGGGGAUAACUACUGGAAACGGUAGCUAAUACCGCAUAACGUCGCAAGACCAAAGAGGGGGACCUUCGGGCCUCUUGCCAUCGGAUGUGCCCAGAUGGGAUUAGCUAGUAGGUGGGGUAACGGCUCACCUAGGCGACGAUCCCUAGCUGGUCUGAGAGGAUGACCAGCCACACUGGAACUGAGACACGGUCCAGACUCCUACGGGAGGCAGCAGUGGGGAAUAUUGCACAAUGGGCGCAAGCCUGAUGCAGCCAUGCCGCGUGUAUGAAGAAGGCCUUCGGGUUGUAAAGUACUUUCAGCGGGGAGGAAGGGAGUAAAGUUAAUACCUUUGCUCAUUGACGUUAC
This 488-nucleotide ribosomal RNA is filed under the name Escherichia coli. Its description in RNAcentral is "bacterial SSU rRNA". It matches the Rfam family "Bacterial small subunit ribosomal RNA", at positions 1 to 478 of the family's 1533-position model. Lineage: Bacteria; Pseudomonadati; Pseudomonadota; Gammaproteobacteria; Enterobacterales; Enterobacteriaceae. The record is from RNAcentral.